Molecule: ribosomal RNA, 495 nt
Filed under: uncultured bacterium
Lineage: Bacteria
Description: bacterial SSU rRNA
Rfam family: Bacterial small subunit ribosomal RNA
Source: RNAcentral
AAAGGAAUUGACGGGGACCCGCACAAGUAGCGGAGCAUGUGGUUUAAUUCGAAGCAACGCGAAGAACCUUACCUAAGCUUGACAUCCUUUUGACCUCUCCCUAAUCGGAGAUUUCCCUUCGGGGACAGAAGUGACAGGUGGUGCAUGGUUGUCGUCAGCUCGUGUCGUGAGAUGUUGGGUUAAGUCCCGCAACGAGCGCAACCCUUGCCUUUAGUUGCCAGCAUUAAGUUGGGCACUCUAGAGGGACUGCCAGGGAUAACCUGGAGGAAGGUGGGGAUGACGUCAAAUCAUCAUGCCCCUUAUGCUUAGGGCUACACACGUGCUACAAUGGGUGGUACAGAGGGCAGCCAAGUCGUGAGGCGGAGCUAAUCCCUUAAAGCCAUUCUCAGUUCGGAUUGUAGGCUGAAACUCGCCUACAUGAAGCUGGAGUUACUAGUAAUCGCAGAUCAGAAUGCUGCGGUGAAUGCGUUCCCGGGUCUUGUACACACCGCCCGU